RNAcentral lists this unclassified non-coding RNA (464 nucleotides) under Hevea brasiliensis (rubber tree). Lineage: Eukaryota; Viridiplantae; Streptophyta; Magnoliopsida; Malpighiales; Euphorbiaceae. The record is from RNAcentral.
AUGAUGAUGAUGACGAUGAUGAUGCAGAAGAUGAAAAUGAUGAGGAUGAUGGAUGUAAUGAUGGGGAUGAUGACAGCCAAAGCGACGAGGGGCAUGUGGAGGACAGUGAUUGAAUUGAAUCCUGGAUAAGCUGACUCACAGGUCGAUUGAUGGUAGAUAUCUUAGCGGUUGGAGUUUGUGGGUGUAUCAUCUGUUCUGAACAUGUUUAGUUCAAUUUUUUCUACCGUCUUGGGUGUAGGAACAUGGAAUUUGUUUGCAGCUUCUUUUGUUAGUAUAUCAUCUAUAGCUGAUUUGUAACUUAUACAAGGGGUAUCUUUCCCUGAAAAAAUUAGCUUCAAAUAUAAACCAGUACUUGUGUAUGUGGAUGCAUGUUACGGUUUGGUUUCAGUCAACCACCCAUAAAAGGUCUUUAUGAGAUUAUACAUAUGGCCAAUGAACAGUUACAUGGCUGAUGCAUGUGUGCG